This 114-nucleotide transfer RNA is filed under the name Aspergillus steynii IBT 23096. It matches the Rfam family "tRNA". Rfam says of the family: Transfer RNA (tRNA) molecules are approximately 80 nucleotides in length. Their secondary structure includes four short double-helical elements and three loops (D, anti-codon, and T loops). Further hydrogen bonds mediate the characteristic L-shaped molecular structure. tRNAs have two regions of fundamental functional importance: the anti-codon, which is responsible for specific mRNA codon recognition, and the 3' end, to which the tRNAs corresponding amino acid is attached (by aminoacyl-tRNA synthetases). tRNAs cope with the degeneracy of the genetic code in two manners: having more than one tRNA (with a specific anti-codon) for a particular amino acid; and 'wobble' base-pairing, i.e. permitting non-standard base-pairing at the 3rd anti-codon position. Lineage: Eukaryota; Fungi; Ascomycota; Eurotiomycetes; Eurotiales; Aspergillaceae. The record is from Rfam by way of RNAcentral.
GGCAAUUUGGCCGAGUGGUUAAGGCGUAAGACUCGAAUUGAGAGGUUUUCCAACCUCCUCAAAUAUUGAUAUCUUAUCCCUUCGGGGUCGCAGGUUCGAAUCCUGCAGUUGUCG